RNAcentral lists this transfer RNA (74 nucleotides) under Thermoplasmata archaeon. RNAcentral describes it as "tRNA-Val". It matches the Rfam family "tRNA". From Rfam's summary of the family: Transfer RNA (tRNA) molecules are approximately 80 nucleotides in length. Their secondary structure includes four short double-helical elements and three loops (D, anti-codon, and T loops). Lineage: Archaea; Methanobacteriati; Thermoplasmatota; Thermoplasmata. RNAcentral also lists the same sequence under 2 other names. The record is from RNAcentral.
GGGCUCGUGGUCUAGUUGGUUAUGACGCCGCCUUCACGAGGCGGAGGUCGGGAGUUCGAAUCUCCCCGAGCCCA